GGCUGACAGAAAUAACGAGAAGGAGCAAGUUGUGCUGAUCAUGGCCUCCUACCUACUGGUCUGCAAAUGGGGCCUACACCAUGCUGAGUUGCUUCUGAGCACACAAUUCUGCUGAUGCUGACCACCAUUGACUGUGUUAGCUGCUUCGUUAUUCCAGGAAUGUGUCUGGAGAAUAGGAGAAGGAAUAAGGCCCACAAAUCCCCUGGAAUUGUGUGAAGGACGGACUACUCCUGCUCCACUGGAACUUGUGGUCUACAGAUGUCCCCAACAAGACAACACCUUCACAGAACAUCAGGCAAGGGAUUGUACUGGAAGUUUCACCAGCUUCUGCCAGCUAAGAGGAACAAGGAAUCAGGACAGCAGUUGAACCUGCAGUAGUCAUGCCAUAUAAUUGACUGAUGAAGACGAGGGCAGCUUUUCUAUCUCGUAAGGGAGCAAACAUUGGACCCUCCAUGUCUCUGAAGCCCCACCAGUUAUAUGCAGUCAAUGGGUGCCCCGAAGGAAAGAUUUGGUCUUCCUUGCCUGAGCUUGCCCUGCAAAAGGCUAUCGGUAAGAAAUAUUAUCCAAGUGACUGUGGUGUAAGUAAUGGCAUUCCUUACCCAAAGAUCACCCAAAAAAAUCAUUCUCUGUUCACGUUGAGAAGAAAGGGAAGGAAGGUGCAAAUGACUUUUGUUUCUGCUCUUUAUGUCAGAUACAGCUCACCUGUUCAUGAAGUACCAGAUAGACCUAUCGGAGUCACAGCAAUCUCUGGUUCCUGAGCUCUGCUUCAGUUUUGCAGGUGAAGUCUGAGACUGUGCUCAAACCAAUUUCUCCUUCCUUUACUAAAAGCACACGGUGAAAUGGUAUUCCCUUUCUGGAGGAGGAAAUGGGACAUUCCACUCCCUUGGCCUGGCAGCACUGGCCAGCUGCGCACAGCUGCGCACCAGCCCAACAGCAGAAAGUCCAAGUUCACCCUUCCUAAGGAAGGAUCGAUGCCUUCGGCUCAAGCCAAGCUGGCAGCCACCAACAGAGAGAAGCAGCACAAAUGGUAGCAGACCCCGCAUAUGGGAGCCACGCUUUCACCAUCACCAUUGCUCCAUCACUGAACUAGAGAGGCUUUCAUGCAGACAAAACUUAAGGUAAGCCUGGGCACUCCCUACUUCAAUGCCCACAGUAGGUGAGCCUCGCUUGUGAUCCUGUGAGCAAAGAAUGAGUCUCCUCUUUCAGUGCUCCUUAUUUUUGUCUGUGCCUUCAAAGAUAGGCAGUAGAGCGUGGGAUGAUUUGGAAACACAAAAGAUCAUCUGUGCUUUUUAACUAAGUGCCAUGCAUUUUAGGCUUCCCUGUAAAAUAUAAUGAUAGAUUUCUUCAAUAAUAAUUACAGUGGGAAAAAUGCUUCAUCCAAGUUGCAUAAGACUAGCUUUAUCCAGGCCUUUGGUUUUAUAAGAACUUAAUUGUAGACAAUCUAAGAAAGACCACAAGCUUUUGUUUAGUGAUAAGAAGGGUCAAAAAAUUUAAAGAAAACUCAAACCAAAAAUCCCUCUGUGAAGGCUCUUUUCAUCCACCACAGUGAACUAGCGAUUUUCACUGGAAUCAGCGUGUGGUUCUGUUAUCUUGUGGUGGGAAGAUAGGUCUCUGGGGAGAAUAGUAAGCUGCCUGAGCUUUUGAGUCGAGUGAUGGAAAAGAUGGCGUGUGAUUUUCAGAAUCUCUGACCAUAAUCCAUCUUUAAAUGUUCCCUUAGUUCUGAGCAGUUUGAAUUCCCUUAAUUGCAUGAUGGAUUUACAGUUGAACGUUUCUAAUAUAAUUGCCCCUAUUAUUGAAAACAAAGGAGACACGUGCCAGUCUGAAACAGCAAAGAUAUAGCCUCAAGGAAAGGGAUUAGUUCAUCUUUGUCUCUUCCCCUUGCACACGAACAUGCUGAUAUUUCUGCACAAAUCCCUUUCAACCUACUUGUCAGAGUAUUCAUUGUCUCUUGAUUUCCAGGACUGUAUUUUGGGCAUGUCUUUGGAAAGUCUUAUAGUGGUUGAAAAGUUCUUAAAUUCAUCAUCAUCAUCAUUACCAAAUGAAUGACAGGAAUUUAAACCUUAAUAUUGUGUAUGACAAGUGUAAAAAAGUACAUUUUAUUUAACAGUGUUUCUCAAGUAUUAGAAAACUGAAGUCCUAGAGGUCGUCAGACACAACCACCAGUCAUGCAUUUGGUAGAAUUGCUGUAUCUCAUUUAUAGACAGUGGAGUUUUAAUGUGAAUGACCAUUGCGUGAGGCAAUAAAUCUCUCUCAUUAGAUCCUCUCUUUGAAGUCCUUGUUGUGUUUGGGACAACUUGUCUGGAAGAUCCCGCAGACCUCACUUGUUCUCUCUCUCGAGAUAUCUCCAGAAUUAUUGUUGGGC
Molecule: long non-coding RNA, 2362 nt
Filed under: Meleagris gallopavo (turkey)
Lineage: Eukaryota; Metazoa; Chordata; Aves; Galliformes; Phasianidae
Description: lncRNA (ENSMGAG00000020534.1)
Source: RNAcentral